AUGACUGAUGACAGAAGUGGAGCGGGCGGACUGGCAAGAACCUCCUCCACCUUUGUUGCUGCCUGGAGCAAGCCGCACCUCAACGUCACGGAUCCACUCACUGCAGAAGCACUGGCCCUGCAAGAUGGAGUCAUAUUUGGCAAGCUUCGAGGUUUCCAACGAGUGAUCUUCGAGACUGACUGCCUGGAGUUGGUCCAACUAUGGAACUCGUGACAUUUUACGCGCUCUGUUAUAGCGCCUAUCCUUAUCGAUAUCGAAGAGCUAGCCUCCUCUUUCCCUAGUUUUGAUAUUCAGCAUGUACUUAGACAGGCCAACACUUCAGCUCACCUGUGUGCAAAACAUGCAAGCACAUUGGGAGUGACUGAUUGUUGGAUGAACUCCCCUCCCGGUUUCCUUGUGACCAGCCUGAUGGCUGACCGCGCUGGAGCUGGAAAUGGUUGA
RNAcentral lists this ribosomal RNA (441 nucleotides) under Triticum aestivum (bread wheat). RNAcentral's name for it is "partial small subunit ribosomal RNA". Lineage: Eukaryota; Viridiplantae; Streptophyta; Magnoliopsida; Poales; Poaceae. The record is from RNAcentral.